AGCGAACGCUGGCGGCAGGCCUAACACAUGCAAGUCGAACGAACGUACCGGGGUUAGUGGCGGUCGGGUGAGUAACACGUGGGAAGGUGCCGUUAGGUUUGGAAUAAUACAGGGAAAUUUGGGCUAAUGCCGAAUGUGUCCUUCGGGGGCAGGAUUUGUCGCCCUUGGAUCGGCCCGCGAUGGUUGAGCUUGGUGGGUUAGGUAAUGGCUCAGCAGGGCGACGAUCAGUAGCUGGUCUGAGAGGAUGAGCACCCACAUUGGGACUGAGACGCAGCCCAGACUCCUACGCGAGGCAGCAGAGGGGAAUCUAGCGCAAUCGGCUAAAGCCUGACGCAGCCCGGCCGGGAAAAUGAUGAAGGUCGGAGGAAUGUAAAGUUCUUUCACCGGGGACGAUAAUGACGGUACCCGGAGAAGAAGCCCCGGCUAACUUCGUG
Molecule: ribosomal RNA, 434 nt
Filed under: uncultured bacterium
Lineage: Bacteria
Description: partial 16S ribosomal RNA
Rfam family: Bacterial small subunit ribosomal RNA
Source: RNAcentral